UCCUCGGUAGCUCAGUUGGUAGAGCAAGCGGCUGUUAACCGCUGGGUCGUAGGUUCGAGUCCUACCCGAGGAG
RNAcentral lists this transfer RNA (73 nucleotides) under Planctomycetota bacterium. RNAcentral's name for it is "tRNA-Asn". It matches the Rfam family "tRNA". From Rfam's summary of the family: Transfer RNA (tRNA) molecules are approximately 80 nucleotides in length. The record is from RNAcentral. Lineage: Bacteria; Pseudomonadati; Planctomycetota. RNAcentral also lists the same sequence under 2 other names.